This 454-nucleotide ribosomal RNA is filed under the name uncultured bacterium. RNAcentral's name for it is "bacterial SSU rRNA". It matches the Rfam family "Bacterial small subunit ribosomal RNA", at positions 340 to 786 of the family's 1533-position model. The record is from RNAcentral.
UACGGAAGGCAGCAGUGGGGAAUAUUGCACAAUGGGCGAAAGCCUGAUGCAGCUAUGCCGCGUGUAUGAAGAAGGCCUUAGGGUUGUAAAGUACUUUCAUCGGGGAGGAAAAAACAAAACUAAUAAUUUUAUUUCUUGACGUUACCCGAAAAAGAAGCACCGGCUAACUCCGUGCCAGCAGCCGCGGUAAUACGGAGGGUGCUAGCGUUAAUCAGAAUUACUGGCGUAAAGAGCACGUAGGUGGUUUUUUAAGUCAGAUGUGAAAUCCCUGGGCUUAACCUAGGAACUGCAUUUUGAAACUGAAAUACUAGAGUAUCGUAGAGGGAGGUAGAAUUCUAGGUGUAGCGGUGAAAUGCGUAGAUAUCUGGAGGAAUACCUGUGGCGAAAGCGGCCUCCUAAACGAAUACUGACACUGAGGUGCGAAAGCGUGGGGAGCAAACAGGGAUUAGAUACC